UCCCUGGUGGCUCAGACGGUAAAGCGUCUGCCUGUAAUUUGGGAGACCCAGGUUCGAUCCCUGGGUCGGGAA
Molecule: transfer RNA, 72 nt
Filed under: Ovis aries (sheep)
Lineage: Eukaryota; Metazoa; Chordata; Mammalia; Artiodactyla; Bovidae
Rfam family: tRNA
About the family: Transfer RNA (tRNA) molecules are approximately 80 nucleotides in length. Their secondary structure includes four short double-helical elements and three loops (D, anti-codon, and T loops).
Source: Rfam by way of RNAcentral